Molecule: ribosomal RNA, 468 nt
Filed under: uncultured bacterium
Lineage: Bacteria
Description: partial 16S ribosomal RNA
Rfam family: Bacterial small subunit ribosomal RNA
Source: RNAcentral
GACGAACGCUGGCGGCGUGCUUAACACAUGCAAGUCGAACGGAAGGGCCUUGCUUUUUUGGGCUGACGGGUUGCGAAAGGGGGAAGUAACAGGUAUGUAACCGGCCCUAGAUUUUGGUGUAACUUCAGGAAACUGGGCUUAAUCCCGGAUCGGAGACCCUCUUCAAUGGUGGGGGUGGGAACUUUUAGGCGUUCGGGGUUGAAUGCGCGGCUUUCCGGCUGGUUGGUGGGGUAGUGGCUUACCAAGGCUUGGGAGGGUAGCCGGCCUGAGAGGGUGACCGGCCACAUUGGGACUGAGAGACGGCCCAGACUCCUACGGGAGGCAGCAGUGGGGAAUAUUGCACAAUGGGCGGAAGCCUGAUGCAGCAACGCCGCGUGCGGGAUGACGGCCUUCGGGUUGUAAACCGCUUUCGCCUGUGACGAAGCGUGAGUGACGGUAAUGGGUAAAGAAGCACCGGCUAACUACGUG